GACGAACGCUGGCGGCGUGCUUAACACAUGCAAGUCGAACGGACAGGCCCUGCUUUUGUGGGGUGCUCGAGUGGCGAACGGGUGAGUAACACGUGAGUAACCUGCCCUUGACUUUGGGAUAACUUCAGGAAACUGGGGCUAAUACCGGAUAGGAGCUCCUGCUGCAUGGUGGGGGUUGGAAAGUUUCGGCGGUUGGGGCUGGACUCGCGGCUUAUCAGCUUGUUGGUGGGGUAGUUGCUUACCAAGGCUUUGACGGGUAGCCGGCCUGAGAGGGUGAACGGCCACAUUGGGACUGAGGUACGGCCCAGACGCCUACGGGAGGCAGCAGGGGGGAAUAUUGCGCAGUGGGCGGAAGCCUGAUGCAGCAACGCCGCGUGCGGGAUGACGGCUUUCGGGUUGUAAACCGCUUUCGCCGGUGACGAAGCGGGAGUGACGGUAAUGGGUAAAGAAGCAACGGCUAACUACGUG
RNAcentral lists this ribosomal RNA (468 nucleotides) under uncultured bacterium. Its description in RNAcentral is "partial 16S ribosomal RNA". It matches the Rfam family "Bacterial small subunit ribosomal RNA", at positions 28 to 507 of the family's 1533-position model. The record is from RNAcentral.